This 520-nucleotide ribosomal RNA is filed under the name Metapenaeopsis gerardoi. RNAcentral describes it as "partial 16S ribosomal RNA". It matches the Rfam family "Bacterial large subunit ribosomal RNA", at positions 1830 to 2600 of the family's 2925-position model. The record is from RNAcentral. Lineage: Eukaryota; Metazoa; Arthropoda; Malacostraca; Decapoda; Penaeidae.
UCUGUAUGAUUGGUAUAUAGAGUCUAGCCUGCCCACUGACAAAGUUAAAGGGCCGCGGUAUUCUGACCGUGCGAAGGUAGCAUAAUCAUUAGUCUUUUAAUUGAAGGCUUGUAUGAAUGGUUGGACAAAAAGUAAGCUGUCUCAGUUGUAUUGUUUGAAUUUAACUUUUAAGUGAAAAGGCUUAAAUAAACUGAAGGGACGAUAAGACCCUAUAAAGCUUUACAAUUAGUCAACUAAAUCAUAAAUUAUUGGUUUAACUUGGUUUAGUUGAUGUUUGUUUCGUUGGGGCGACGAGAAUAUAAUUAAAAUAACUGUUCUUUAAUAAUUAAUUACAGUUUUUUCUGAUAUAAAAUUGAUCCUUUAUUAAAGAUUAAAAGAUUAAGUUACUUUAGGGAUAACAGCGUAAUCUUCUUUGAGAGUCCAUAUCGACAAGAAGGGUUGCGACCUCGAUGUUGAAUUAAAGUAUCUCUGUGGUGCAGCAGUCACAGUAGAAGGUCUGUUCGACCUGUAAUUCUUUACA